CUGAACUUAAGAAAUUUACACAAAAAGUUUGUGAGUAUCAAUUUCUGCUAGGACUAAAUUUUGAGUACAAUCAAGAACGAGUUCAGAUCUUGGGAAAAGAAGCAAUAACAUCACUCAACGAUGCUAUUUUCACUGUAACAGCGGAAGGGAAUAGAACAGGGGUUAUGCUAGAACCUUAUCCCACUCAUAGUUCAAUCCUGAUCUUUUACGAGGUUCUAGACCUCACUAGCAGACAAAAGAGAUGAAUUCGACAUAGGGAAUGGAUAACAAGACAACCUUGUUGUUUCUUUUGUGAAAAAACC
This 302-nucleotide long non-coding RNA is filed under the name Carica papaya (papaya). Its description in RNAcentral is "long non-coding RNA (CPAP_LNC014574)". The record is from RNAcentral. Lineage: Eukaryota; Viridiplantae; Streptophyta; Magnoliopsida; Brassicales; Caricaceae.